ACCAACUCACUUUAAAAACGCUCUCUUUGUAAAUAAGUGACUUUAAAACAUGCUUAUUAGUAACAAUUAAGUUGUUUCUAUCUUUUACUCUUGGUUUUGUUUUAAGGUGCUCCACUGUGACCAAUGGCCAGUCUUGUUUGAUAUUUUGUUUGAACUUUCGAUUUGCAGGCAUUAUUGACACCCUUUCAGCAAUACUUUUUCAUGUUUGUUUUAAAAUACUUACUUAGUUCUUGAUUAUUAUGAAUUUUAUUUAUGUAUAUUAUGUGACCAGAAUGUUAUAGUUUUGUCACUUUCAAGAAGAAAUUGUAUCUUUUGUUUAUGAUUUGGACUGGGUAAAAUUUAUAAACUUGUUAUAAAAUGGAGGAAAUAAUCUCUUAAUGAUAUUAUGAUAACAGAUUUCAUACAUGCUUAAUAUCUUAAUUGGACUUGUCUAAAUUAUAAGUAUGAAGGGUAUUAAUAUUGAAAUGCUUUAAUUAUCUCGGGAGCCACCAGUAAACAGAUUGGUCAGAGGGUAUUAUAGUAUACAUUGUAAUCUGUCAAUGUAUAGUGCUGGUGUAAACUGAAGUAAUUAUCCCUGACUGUCAAUGUAUAGUGCUGGUAUAGAUUGAAGUAAUAAUCACUGACUGUCAAUUGUAUAGUACUGGUGUAAACUGAAGUAAUUAUCCCUGACUGUCAAUGUAUAGUACUGGUACAGACUGAAGUAAUUAUCCCUGACUGCCAAUGUAUAGUGCUGGUAUAGACUGAAGUAAUUAUCCCUGACUGUCAAUGUAUAGUGCUGGUAUAGAUUGAAGUAAUUAUCCCUGACUGUCAAUGUAUAGUGCUGGUAUAGAUUGAAGUAAUUAUCCCUGACUGUCAAUGUAUAGUGCUGGUAUAGAUUGAAGUAAUUAUCCCUGACUGUCAAUGUAUAGUGCUGGUAUAGACUGAAGUAAUUAUCCCUGACUGUCAAUGUAUAGUGCUGGCACAGACUCAAGUAAUUAUCCCUGACUGUCAAUGUUUAGUGCUGGCACAGACUGAAGUAAUUAUCCCUGACUAUCAAUGUAUAGUUCUGGCACAUACUGUAGUAAUUAUCACUGGCUGUCAAUUUAUAGUGCUGGCACAGACUUAAGUAAUUAUCACUAACUGUCAAUGUAAAGUUCUGGCACAGACUGAAGUAAUUAUCCCUGACUGUCAAUGAACAGUGCUGGUACAGACUGAAGUAAUUAUCCCUGACUGUCAAUGAACAGUGCUGGUACAGACUGAAGUAAUUAUCCCUUACUGUCAAUGUAUAGUACUGGCACAGACUUAAGUAAUUAUCCCUGACUGUCAAUGUUUAGUGCUGGCACAGACUGAAGUAAUUAUCACUGACUGUCAAUGAACAGUACUGGUAUAGACUGAAGUAAUUAUCCCUGACUGGCAAUGUAUAGUACUGGUAUAGACUGAAGUAAUUAUCCCUGACUGUCAAUAUAUAGUGCUGGUAUAGACUGAAGUAAUUAUCACUAGCUGUCAAUGAACAGUACUGGUAUAGACUGAAGUAAUUAUCACUGACUGUCAAUAUAUAGUGCUGGUAUAGACUGAAGUAAUUAUUCCUGACUGUCAAUGUAUAGUGCUGGCGCAGACUGAAGUAAUUAUCCCUGACUGUCAAUAUGUAGUGCUGGUAUAGACUGAAGUAAUUAUUCCUGACUGUCAAUGUAUAGUGCUGGCGCAGACUGAAGUAAUUUUCCCUGACUGUCACUGUAUAGUACUGGUAUAGACUGAAGUAAUUAUCCCUGACUGUCAAUAUAUAGUGCUGGCGCAGACUGAAGUAAUUAUCCCUGACUGUCAAUGAACAGUACUGGUAUAGACUGAAGUAAUUUUCCCUGACUGUCAAUAUAUAGUGCUGGUAUAGACUGAAGUAAUUAUCACUGACUGUCAAUGUAUAGUGCUGGUAUAGACUGAAGUAAUUAUCCCUGACUGUCAAUGUAUAGUGCUGGCACAGACUGAAGUAAUUAUCCCUGACUGUCAAUGUAUAGUGCUGGCACAGACUGAAGUAAUUAUCCCUGACUGUCAAUGUAUAGUGCUGGCACAGACUGAAGUAAUCAUCCCUGACUGUCAAUGUAUAGUGCUGGCACAGACUGAAGAUAAUUAUCACUGACUGUCAAUGUUUAGUGCUGGCACAGACUGAAGUAAUCAUCCCUGACUGUCAAUGUAUAGUGCUGGCACAGACUGAAGUAAUCAUCCCUGACUGUCAAUGAACAGUACUGGUAUAGACUGAAGUUAUUAUCCCUGACUGUCAAUGUAUAGUGCUGGCACAGACUGAAGUAAUCAUCCCUGACUGUCAAUGUAUAGUGCUGGCACAGACUGAAGUAAUCAUCCCUGACUGUCAAUGAGCAGUACUGGUAUAUACUGAUGUAAUUAUUAUUAGAGACAUUCAUAGGGUUAAACAAAUAAAUUAACUGUAUAAUACAUAACGAUUAUGCAAUUGCCAUUUUCACCCUGGUAAUGUAGCCAAUUUUAACUGAUGAGUUGCCAUUUUUAUGCAAUAAAAUGCUCUUAAAUUAGAUUUUUUAUUUUCAGAAAGAGAGAAGAAAGAACUGCUUAGUAAUAGGAUAUUUUUAAAUCUUGAUUCAUAUUUGACAACAUAUCCCCUAGUGGGCUUUCAUUCUAAUGGAAAAGUAGAAUUCUGUCUUUGUUGACGUAAAAGACAAAGAAGAUAGAUCUAUUUAAUGAUUUAAUUUAUUGUUUUGUGUAGCUUUUUCAUAAAAUAAGAAAAGAAAAGAUGAAUAUUUAUAUCUAUUAAAAGGGAUGUUAAGAGAAAUAAUUAUAAAAUACAAAAAAAAAAGAAUCACCAACAAUAUUACAUAGCAAUUAGUUGAUCAGACUGACCUGUGUCUAUACUGGUGGUCUCUAUACUGUUGGCUAAACUGGUGGUAAAUGGCUAAUUGCUGUUGGUUUGUUCCAGCAGCUUAAAGGUUUAGUUACUACACUUAUUAAUGUUAAAUUUACAUGCUUGAUACAACUAAUAAAACCCAUGUGACAAAUGCAGACCAACAUCAGCUGGCACAUCUUCGCCAUUUGAUAAUGGUCUGCACUGUUUGCUAUUCAGUCAGUAACUAUUUUGAAAGUUUACCAAAAAUGAUAAAAGGUUGUGUCUAGUUUGAAGGAAAAACAAGUCCAUUUAAGAUAUUUAGCAUGAAAUAAAUGUGACAGGUUGCUUUAAGUUUCUUUUUACAUUCUGUAACAUUUCUUUCUGUAUUGCAGCUUUCAGCUAUAUAGUUAUAUUUAGCAACAAUAACUAGUUCAUAUUGCAGUUAGAUUUUGCAACAUUUUCAAAUAAAUUUCAUUUAUUUCAUAAAUAAAUUCAAUAUUUAGUGUCCCAUACCCCAAGCAUGACUAUUUCCAGAACUUUGAGCAGCAGUUUUAUGAAUAUUUCCAAGGAAAAUGGCAUUCUUGUUUUUGAUUGGUUGUUACUCAACACAUUUAUAAUUUUACAGUUGGUGGUGCUUUUGCUAUAUAUGUUUCAUGGCAAAAAUUUGCAAGAGAAAUAAAAUUAAUUAUGAAACUUAAAGGAACUGAGGUCAUUUUACUGUAAUUCUAAAACUUGUAGCAUAAAUAUUUUCUUUUGUACAUAUUAUAUAUAACUAUGAUGUCAGGAUUCAAUACAACACUGUUAUCACAAUUAUCAAGGUUUCAAAUGUGCCACAAUUAUCAAGGUUUCAAAUGUGCCACAAUUAUCAAGGUUCUAGUGUGACACAAUAAUCAAGGUUUCAAAUGUGCCACAAUUAUCAAGGUUUCAAAUUUGGCACAAUUAUCAAGGUUGCAAUGUUACAAAAUUAUCAAGGUUUUAAAUGUGCCACAAUUAUCAAGGUUUCAAAUUUGGCACAAUUAUUAAGGUUGCAAUGUAACACAAUUAUCAAGGUUUCAAAUGUGGCACAAUGAUCAAGGUUUCAAUGUGACACCGAAAUUAAAGUUUCAAAUGCGACACUUUCACUGUGACAAAAAAUACCAUGAUAUAAGUUUCUUUUAAACACUUUUAUUCAGAUUUUAAUCUUUACUUAAGGACUUUCUAAACUUUUUUAUUUCUGUUUGGUAUGGGGGAUUCUUAUUCAGAUUUUUCAAAUCUUGAUAUUUUUUACUUGCUUACAGAUCAUUUUAUCGAAAUAAACACAGUUUUCAAUCCUGUAGCUAUUUUGAUGUCUUUAAUAUCAAUAUUUUCUUUUUUAUUGAACAUCUUAGUGCUAAGAUUUUUAAUAGAAUUGUUCUAAGAUGAAUCGAACAAAAAAUGAUACUUGAUUAGAAUAGAGAACGUCCCUAUUUAAGAAUAUGUUCUAUCAUUUAAACCUGAAGAGAAUUAUAAAGAUAAUUAAAUAAUAUAUCAGUAAUCAUUUCGUUUUAAUGACCCAGGAAUAAAUUAUUUUUGUUGUACGAGUAAUGCUGUAUUUCUUUUCUCUUGCAAAUCCUUGUCGCUUUUUUUUAACAAAUAAAAAUGCCUAUUGCACGGUCUGAUAAUUAUGUCGCAGAAAGGACGUUGAAAUGGUUGUUUAUAUAUAGAUUUGGAUCUCAUAUCCUGUUAGGUAAUUGUUUUGCAUAAGUUUAUCCUGUUAGGUAAUUGUUUUGCAUAAAUUUUUAAAAAGAAAAAAACCUUAUAUUUUCAAAAUCGAUUUUUGAAGAAAAGAAAAAAAAUUGUUGUUACACUCUGAUGUUGUAUUUUCGAAUAGAUUGGUAAUUGUGAAGUAUACACCUAUAAGGCAUAACUAUAGAAUCACCAAAAAGAUGGAAAGAAUCACUUUGGUUAUAUCUUAUUAAAUCUUUUACCAUGUAAAUACUUCCAUGUGUUGGUAUGUAAGCCCCUGUGUAACUGAAGAUCUGAGCUCUUGUUGAAAUAUUUUAAUUUCAAGAGCAAAUUCAUCUAAGAAGAAGCUUAACGUAUUGUAUCUGACUCAAUAUAUUUGAUGUAAAUUAUCUUGAGAGUGAAACUUGAAACUCUUUUUACGGAAACAAAGGAAAUAUAAGUUUUAACUGUCAACAAAGAAUAAAAGUUUUCAUACCUAACCUUAAAAGCCAAUCAAAUGUAUUGAGUAGAUUUAUCUUUCUGCAUUUUAAUGGGCUCAUUCAAAUUUCAACCAAUUGUAUUAAGGUUUUCUCCCUUUGUAAUGUGUAUUCUGAAAUUUUAACCAAUGGUGAAAAAGUUUUUUUCAGUCAACAUGAGAUUUCUGUAUUUGUGCUUUAUAGGUCAUACAAACUAUAACAAUAAAAUAUAUAUGUUCAAUGAAUAACAGUUGGUAACCAACUCCAAAUUUAUUUAAUGUCUUUUUAUAAAAAAAAUAAUGUUCGUGGAAUCCAAUGUUUUGAUACAGAAAAGUUAAAAAAGAAGAAAUUUUUUGUAUGCAAAUGAGGAAAAUGUGAUACUAAUGCAUAAAACAUUUUUUUCACUUUUUUUCUGCAAAUUUUGACAAUGAGAAAAUGAUAUGAAAUAAAAGUAUGUAGGCA
Long non-coding RNA from Ruditapes philippinarum (Manila clam), 5445 nucleotides. RefSeq lists it as uncharacterized. The transcript is spliced from 2 exons. NCBI's taxonomy places the organism in Eukaryota, Metazoa, Mollusca, Bivalvia, Venerida, Veneridae. The record is from RefSeq and is a predicted model, not a curated record.